AAGAAAAUAGGUUAUAAGCGAAUGGUGGAUGCCUCGGGAUAUUAAAGUGAUGAAAGACGUGGCGUGCCUGCGAUAAGCAUCGGGGAGCUGGCUAGCAAGCUUUGAUCCGGUGAUUUCUGAAUGAGGAAACUCUAUUGCGGUAAUACGUAAUAAUCCAUAUAGUAAUAUAUGGAAGCUAACCCGCCGAAGUGAAACAUCUCAGUAAGCGGAGGAAAAUAAAACAAUGAAAUAUUCUAUUUACUCUGUCCUGCAAAGGACAAAGUGAUUAGAGUGUUUUACAUUCCCUUAGUAGUGGCGAGCGAAAAGGGAGCAGCCCAAACCAGAAUUUAUUCUGGGGUUGUAAGGGUUUAACGUCGGGAGCAUUAUUUAUUUCUCCAAUGCUGGAGCAAUAAAUAUUGUUUGACCGAGGGAGAGCAAAAAGUAAGUAGUUAAAAGAAGUACCCUGGAAAGGGACGCCAUAGAGGGUAAUAGCCCCGUAUUCUAAAAUUAUAUUACGCUCCUUGUUAGAUUUCUUGAGUACUGUCGGGCAUGAUUACCUGGCAGGAAACAGGCCGAACUAUCGGCCAAGGCUAAAUAUUUAAUAUCACCAAUAGUGAACCAGUACCGUGAGGGAAAGGUGAAAAGUAGGGGGAUGACCCCGGUGAAAUAGAACCUGAAACCAUUUGCUUACAAAGAGUAGGAGCCUCGCAAGGGGUGACUGCGUGCUUUUUGCAGAACGAGCCAACGAGUUUGACUAUCCAGUCGCCUAAGCCCCUACGGGGUGGAGGCAUAGCGAAAGCGAGUGUGAAUAGCGCGAAAUAUGAUUGGAUGUUCAAGACCCGAAGCGUGACGAGCUUACCAUGAGCAGGAUGAACCCCGCGUAAAAGUGGGGGGAGGUCCGAACCCGUGAGUCGUGCAAUCCUCUGGGAUGACUUGUGGUAAGGAGUGAAAAGCUAAUCGAGUUACGUAAUAGCUGGUUCUUCCCGAAACAGCUUUAGGGCUGGCGUCUUGGGCGGAAUGUGGGGGUAGAGCACUAAAUAGAAAUUCUUGGAGUUUACUCCAGAUUUUCUAAUUAAACUCCGAAUACCAUAUUCUUAAGCCAAGGCAGUUAGACAGUGGGGGCUAAGCUCCAUUGUCAAAAGAGUAACAGCUCAGAUCGUCGUCUAAGGUCCCUAAAUUAAACUAAGUGUUAUAAAGGAGGUUUUUCGCCCUCGACAGGCAGGAAGUUAGCUUAGAGGUAGCUAUCUUUUAAAGAGUGUGUAACAACUCACUGCCCAAACUUUGUUCUUUUGAACAGAGAGGGGUGAUUAGCGCCAAAGAUUCCCGGGACUAAAGUUUAAUACCGAAGACACGGAUACUUUUGUAAUUUAUUACAGAGGCAUGGUAGGGAAGCGUUCUGUACGCAUUGAAGCAGGAGGGUAACCGACUGUGGAGUGUACAGAAGUGAGAAUGUUGGCCUGAGUAACCGCAAUGUAUGUGAAAGCCAUACACACUGAAAGUCCAAGGUUUCCUUGGCAAUGGUAUUCAACCAAGGGUUAGUCGGUCCUAAGGAGAAGCCGAAAGGCGUACCCGAUGGUCAGUUAGUUAAUAUUCUAACACUUGGAUACUUUUUUAAUACGUUGCACAAUGUAGUAAUGUUAGCCCAUUAAUGGAUUUGGGUUCCCGGUCUCCGGCGUAAGCUAAAGACAAGGAAGAUGUGGCCGCAGGGUCAUAAAUUGAUGUGAGCGCGUUGUCUAGAAAAGGCGUAUUGAGCCAAGAGUAUUCAAACCGUACCGCAAACCGACACAGGUGGACAAGCGUAAGUAUGCUAAAGUGAACGGGUGAGACCUCGUUAAGGAACUAGGCAAAUUAGUGGCCGUAAGUUCGCAAUAUGGCCUGCCCAGGUCCGCAAGGAUACUGGGCUGCAACAACCGUACUUCAACCGACUGUUUAUCAAAAACACAGCUCCCUGCUAACUCGCAAGAGGAUGUAUAGGGGGUGAGGCCUGACCAGUGCUGGAAUGUUAAGUUUGGGAGUGAUAGUCGCAAGAUUAUUGCCCACUGAAUGAAGCACCAGUGAACGUCGGCGAUAACUAUAAUCGUCCAAAGGUAGCGUAAUCCCUUGCCGGGUAAGUUCCGGCCCGCAUGAAUGGCUUAACGAGUUGAAGACUGUCUCAACGAGGCGCCCGGUGAAAAUGCAAUACCAGUGAAGAUGCUGGUUACCUGCGGCUAGACGGAAAGACCCCGGAAGCUUUACUAUAGUUAGAUAUUGAAUUUUAAUUUUUGAUGCGUAGCGUAGUGGUGAGCCUAUGAAAUGCUAAUUUCGGUUAGUGUGGAGGCGACGAUGAAACAGCCAUCUUUAAAAAUUAAUAUUCUAAUCUCCUUAACUGGAGUGACAGUGUUUAAUGGGUAGUUUAAGUGGGGCACUUGCCUCCUAAAGAGUAAUGGAGGCGUUUAAAGGUUGGCUAGAUUCGGAUGGAAAUCGAAUCGAUAGGGCAAAGCCAUAAGCCAGCUUUACUGCAAGACGGCUAUGUCGCGCAGUUGCGAAAGCAGAACUUAGUGAACCGACUCAUUUUCAUAGAAAAUGAGAAGAUCAUCAGCCAAAAGCUACUCCGGGGAUAACAGGCUAGUAGAGCCCGAGCGUCCACAGCGACGGCUCUGUUCGGCACCUUAAAUUCGGGGUGCAAGAGUAGAAAUACUCUUCCAAAAAUAUGGCUUAUAACGGUGGAGUUGUACUUAAUUUAGUGGUAAAAUUAACAUAUAAAUUAAGCAAUAAUACCGUGGGAAGUUGUGUAAUAAUUAUAAAAAUGAUAAAAUUUAAGUCAGAAAGGUCUGAUUAUUAAAUUUUAAUCAUCUAAAAAUAUGCCUGAAAAUAAUAGAUGGGAAGAUCUAAGUCCUAAACCAGAAAGUGAAUGGAAAGAAGAAUUAACAAACAUUGACAUAGAAACUCUCGUUGAGCUUAUAGAUAAAGGAAUCCAACAGCAAAUAGUUUCUCCUGGUCCGUUAAAAGAGAUCAAGAAAAAAUUAUUAAGCAUGAUGGAAAAGUAAAAUUAUUACAUUAACCCCGUAGAGACUUGACCUUAACUGGUCGGAGUCCUUCAUUUUUGAAGGGCUAACACGCCAUCUCCUCCCUGCAAAAUGCAGAAGGAUGAAGAUAUAGUCCGAUCCUCUUUGUAAAAAGAGAAAAAUUACCGACAGCGAUGUCGGCUCAACACAUCCUGGGGGUGAAGCAGCUCCCAAGGGUUCGGCUGUUCGCCGAUUAAAGUGUUACGUGAGCUGGGUUCAAAC
RNAcentral lists this ribosomal RNA (3245 nucleotides) under Candidatus Staskawiczbacteria bacterium. Its description in RNAcentral is "partial 23S ribosomal RNA". It matches the Rfam family "Bacterial large subunit ribosomal RNA", at positions 1 to 2616 of the family's 2925-position model. The record is from RNAcentral. Lineage: Bacteria; Candidatus Staskawicziibacteriota.